Molecule: long non-coding RNA, 286 nt
Filed under: Salvia miltiorrhiza (redroot sage)
Lineage: Eukaryota; Viridiplantae; Streptophyta; Magnoliopsida; Lamiales; Lamiaceae
Description: long non-coding RNA (SMIL_LNC011778)
Source: RNAcentral
CGCCAGAGCUUUCACGCCAGAGCUGUCCGGAGCUGACUGACUGGCUUUAGAGCUGCCCGCCAGACCUUCUCGCCUGAGCUGUAAGGCAGAGCUUCCUGAGCUGUCCGCCUGUGCGGAUUCUCCUGCUCUGUUUAUCAAGAGCUGUCCUCUUGUUUUUCUUUUUCUUUUGUUUGUUUUACCACAUUUUGUGGUUCUGUUCCAUGGCACACAUCCUUUGGAUUUCCUUUGUGAUUGUGUCUUUGGGCCUUGUUUUUUCCUUGGGCUUGCCCAAUUUUUUUCCUUUCUC